This 76-nucleotide transfer RNA is filed under the name Lysobacterales bacterium. Its description in RNAcentral is "tRNA-Ala". It matches the Rfam family "tRNA". From Rfam's summary of the family: Transfer RNA (tRNA) molecules are approximately 80 nucleotides in length. Their secondary structure includes four short double-helical elements and three loops (D, anti-codon, and T loops). RNAcentral also lists the same sequence under 1 other name. Lineage: Bacteria; Pseudomonadati; Pseudomonadota; Gammaproteobacteria; Lysobacterales. The record is from RNAcentral.
GGGGCCAUAGCUCAAUUGGUAGAGCACCUGCUUUGCAAGCAGGGGGUCGUCGGUUCGAAUCCGACUGGCUCCACCA